This 114-nucleotide ribosomal RNA is filed under the name Candidatus Pacearchaeota archaeon. Lineage: Archaea; Nanobdellati. The record is from RNAcentral.
UGAGACGGCCAUAGGUUGUUGGUCACACCCAAUCUCCAUUCCGAACUUGGAAGUUAAGCUUCAACCGUUCACGCCUGUACUGUCUAAUGAUGGGAACGCGUGAAGUUGUCUUGU